Non-coding RNA from Pelobates cultripes (western spadefoot toad), 343 nucleotides. The record is from the annotation of a GenBank genome assembly. NCBI's taxonomy places the organism in Eukaryota, Metazoa, Chordata, Amphibia, Anura, Pelobatidae.
GCGGCUUGCAGGGCGGGAGAGUGGGUGACAGAAAGCCACUGUGUGUAACCCGAACAUAGGGAUCAGUGUACAAUGCCAGGUGCAUGCAUCAUGCCAGCUGGUGUAAUGGCAAAACUGAAUUGGCUUCAAAGGGGUUCAUUCAAUUAAAGGAACACCCCAACCACCAGCACCACUACAGCUCGCUGCCAAGAUUGCUCAGGCACCUUCCUACUGAAAUGUGUCUGACCCCUUACCUGGCUCACAGCGGCCAUACCCUGACUUAUCUUGGAAGAGGACCCGCUCAGUGGCUCAGAGAGUGCUCAGGUGAUGCGUUCAGGCAAUGAGUGCAGCUGCUUGGCUCAGG